CGGCUCGCAACCAUGGAACCCCACCUUGGUGCAUGGAUCAUUGAAGUGCCAUGGAAGAGCAUCUCCUUGAAAUGGUAAAGAAACAUGACUUUGUUUUUCGUACAAUCCAGAUAGAGCACACAAGGCUGAGAAUCCAAUUCCGGCAUAACAGAGAGGGAAUGUAAUUUAAUUAAGUCGGGAGAGGUGAGCAAUUCGUUCCAUGAUUCGAUACGCUUUUGAGACGCAAGAGAUGCUUCAAUGGGAAGCACAAAAGGAUCUUCUCGACGAGUUCGUCGGGGAGGAUGCUCGACAAAGACCCCAUUGCGCAAAAAGGAGAUGCAGGAAAAGAAUGCCUGUGUUUUGCCUUCUACCUUGAAUGCCUGUGUUGCCUCUGAUAAGGCACUGGAAACCUGAAAAGAAACAGAAGAAGAGGAGAGAAACCUGAAAGGAAACAGAAGAAAAUGAAGAUAGCUGAACAGAGGAAGUCUAUAGUAAUGGCAGAACUGGUUAAGAUUCUAUCCUAUAAAACCUCCCUCUCUUGUUUUAUGUAACAAUGGAAGGCUAGGCUCCAUAUAAACUUUUCCCAAACUUUAUUAGGAAAUAAAAAUCUUUGAAAGAUAUAUGAUAACUUCUACUUAAUCUGGAUAGGCUAAAGGG
RNAcentral lists this long non-coding RNA (636 nucleotides) under Amborella trichopoda. Its description in RNAcentral is "long non-coding RNA (ATRI_LNC003875)". Lineage: Eukaryota; Viridiplantae; Streptophyta; Magnoliopsida; Amborellales; Amborellaceae. The record is from RNAcentral.